UGGUGGUGCGCAGUCUCAGUGACAUGGGCAGAUAUCACACGAGUUAGCCACCGCUCAUAACGUUCCUAUCAUCAUCAAAAAGAAGACAGAAGUGAGAGCUAAACUGGUGGGUCGUUACUGCGUCUGCGCGGCAUGGCCCUAAUCUAGGAUUAUGGAGGCUUAUCUAAACUCGCUGUUUAUAAAGUAUGUUUUCGGUGGGAAAUUAGCUAGUCGUGGAUGGCACGACUGGAGCGACGUAUCGACGGUGGUGCUGCGAGGCCGAGAGUAGUGUCGUGCUGAGGACGCCUUCCGCGACGACCUGGCUGAGCGGUGGUCGUAACGGGGCUUACGGCUUAGCACGUGGCAGUGACUUUAAUCGGUGGCGGACCCCAACCUUGGUGCCGCCUCAGUAUCUUCCCGCCGCCCCCGGUGACCAUGUCUGGCUCUCCCGGCGUGGCACUCUGGCUGUCCCGGUGCCGCCUCGAGUAGUCAACUCUUCGCUGCCGCCUCCGCCAGCCGUCGCUGAAACCACCUAAGUUGGGAGUUUUGAAGCAACACUGCCAGCGGCCGCCCUCGUGCAGGGAGGGAGGUGGAGGGGAGCUGACCGCCCCGCCGUGACCACUAACCUGACCUGAUCUGGCCUCAGCGAUGGACUUUCAGAGCGCCAUGGAAACGUUUGCUGAAGCGUGGAUGGCGGCCAACACCAAGUCUCGCCCAGGCUCCUCCGACCACCAGCGGGAGGGGAGCGCCGAGCGGACCAAUGGGCGGCCGGAGGAGGUGACACCCCGGGAGUCAGCCGCUCAUCUGACCAAUGGGGACUCACCGAACAGACAGUCUCCCGUCUUAUUGGCUCGAGACUCCGAAGUGAGCCCCAAGCCCCUGUGUGUGGGCAAGAACAUUCCCUUACACGUGGUGGUGGAGACGGUGCCUCUGUGUGGGGUGGGCGUCGAGGACCUGCGUGGCCGUAUCGACAUGGACAGCUACGCCCUCAUCCCCGCCCACACCCGCUUCACGGACCUUCUGCAGGCCGCCCUUGUCAAGCUAGGCUACUCAGAGGAACUCACACAGGCAAGAGGUUUGCUUCAGCUGAGGAACUGGCGCCCGCUGCCCCUAGAGACCAUCCCGGAGACGGAGGACAAGACAGUGGCGGAGGUGCUGUGUGACGUGGCGCCCCUCGCUACCCUCCAUGUCCGCAUCUACAGCAGUCCGUGGAAGGUGCGCUGUGCAAGAGACAUCAAGGACCGUCUUCUGCGCCUCCUCCUACAGCAGUCCCAUCAUCUCCUGGUCUCUGCCGGCUGCCCGCUUGACGAAAGUCUGCUGACGGCACUGAUUCGAGGCUCCGGGGAGGUGAGCGAGGAGUCGGCCCGCCAGUUUGAAGCUUGGUGGGCUGUGCAUGUGUCCCGCCCCCCCACCGCCGCCCACGUCAUGACACCACCGCACCACGUUCACGCCCGCCCACAUCCACUCGAGAAACUACCACCGGAGCCUCUGCAUCCAGCCAUUCAGACGGUGGGCAGCCAGUACGGCCCGCAGAAGACCAGGAUGAGGACGAGCUUUGACCCUGAGCUGGAGUUGCCGAGGCUGCAGCGAUGGUUUGCAGAGAAUCAGCACCCAACCCGCCUUCAGAUCCAGCAGUACGUGGCGGAACUCAACGCUCUGGAGUCUCGCCGGGGCCGCAAGCCGCUGGACAUCAGCAACGUGGUGUACUGGUUCAAGAACGCGCGGGCUGCCUACAAGCGGCAGGAGUUCCGCACCUUCAAUGGCCUCAAGUCGCCGCCGCCGCAGGACGAGACGAGCGUCAGUGAUAACGAGGACGCCACCGCUGCUUCCACAGCCUCUGCCGACCCUUACCCCGGCCCGCCCCCCUCACACCACCCCGCGGGGCCCUCUCCGCCCCCAACCACCACCCAUGAUCACCCACAUUCCCACCAGUCACAACAGCAGCAGCAGCAACAACAACAACAACAACAACAACAGCAACAGCAACAGCAGCAACAACAGCAGCAGCAACAGCAGCAACAACAACAAUCUCAACAGGAAGAAAAUCAGGAGGAUGACGAGUCUCGGCCGCCCGGCUCGGAUCCGCCUGAGAGCUUGCAGGGACGCAGCCAGACGGCGGGAGGGAGUUCCGGUGGCCAGAACUCUGGCGGUGAACGAUGCCAGGGCGAGAGUGACGUUGACAUGAGUGAGGACGAAGACGAAGUACGUUCACGAGACAGCGUCAGCGUCACUCUGGAGAGCAAGUGUUCCCCUCCCCCUGUGGUGUCUCCCGGCGCCCUAUCGUUGCCACCUUAUCCGCCACUCACGGGACUGGGCCAGGCAGGUAUGGAGCGCCUACCCUACCCUGUGGUGCCCGGCUCUCUGCUGCAGCAUUCCAUGAUGUAUAUGGCUCACUACAUGCCGCAGGUUUCGCCUUUCUCUGGUGGCCUCGGUAGCAGCGGACCGCCAGAGGAGAGGCGCAAAAGGAAUCGGACGUUCAUCGACCCGGUGACAGAGGUGCCGCGCCUGGAGCAGUGGUUCGCCAUCAACACUCACCCCAGCCACAACCUCAUCCUCAAGUACACCGAAGAGCUCAACCGCAUGCCCUACCGCCAAAAGUUCCCGAAACUCGAGCCGAAAAAUGUUCAGUUUUGGUUUAAAAAUCGACGUGCCAAGUGCAAGAGGCUGCGAGUGUCCAUGUGAGGCGCGCCGUGGUAGACUCCGCUACGAGGCACAACACGCGGAGUUACUCGAUUGAUGGAGUGACUUGGGGUGGCAGCCUCUCGUGGGGCUGAAAUUACGGGUCGCAGCAACUUGAAGGUCACCUCUCCUCCCCAGGCUGAGGGCCUCGCCACCCCUGGACGCCCGUGUGCAGAGGCAGGCCGUGCGCCGCUGGGAUGUGUUAAAAACUGUUGAUGCGAUAAAGUGACAGUCAGCGUGGCUUAUGAGUAACAACGCUUGUGUCAAAACUUAUCUUCGUUCAUGAUGCCAAAAUUACAUCCGGUGGAAAAUACUUGUUAUUAUAUUAAAUACUAUAUUUGUCAUUAUUGAAGUGGAAUUAGUGCAAUACUCUACUCUGGAAAGAAAAAAAAUGUUUAGUGGGUUCUGCUAAGGUUUCCCUUUGGCGUGUCUUGACUAUCCAUCAAGACCUCAGUGGUGAAGCAGUGGGUGGUUGUGGCGGCGGAUUGAGCAGCGGCGUGCCAGGCCUCAGCAGGCUCCACCAGCACCGCCACUUCUAUGGACAGUACUUAGCGGCCUGCUGCCUCUUGGACAGCUGACUCAUGGGACAACCACACCAGAAUUUGCUAAUUAAUUUUGUUUGGAAUAAGAGAAGUGUCUGUUCAUCGUGAACACAUUACUAUGUAUAUUGGUUUGGUGGCGCUUCUAUAAUAACGUUGAUCAUUUCAAAUUAGAAAAAUACAAUUGUGGUGCAGAUCGUGAAAAUAUGUAAUGCAUAUACACAUUAAUAGCAGACAAAUCUGGCAACUAGUAAGCCUCGCUAAGCUCUUAUCCUAUGUUCAUGUAAAACUUAAAGGUUCUAGUAUGGUUUUGUUUUACGUGGCGUGAUGUUUCUGUCCCGAGUGUUGCAGCCGCUGCCUCACCGCUGCCAAGUCUGCCGCUGCUGUCGCUGACAUGGACCCCUCUGGAUAUACUCAUUUCCUUUCCCGUGUCCUCAGGACAGUAAAGGAAACAAUCGGCAAAGCUGUUACAAAAGUAACUUUGUGCUGUGUUUUGUUCAAUUCGUGCAAGAUUGUUGCUAAUACGUGUAGGAUAUAUAUAUAUAUAUAUAUAUAUAUAUAUAUAUAUAUAUAUAUAUAUAUAUAUAUAUAUAUAUAUAUAUAUAUAUAUAUUGAUGAUGAAACAGAUGUGGUGUGGCCUCGGCGGGGCGAGUGAGCGCCUUUGGCGUGACAUGAGGGCUGCUUCGCCUCCCUGAGCUCAACGAUAUUGGAUAAAGAAAAUGGAGAAAAUUUUUUUUUUUUUUUUUUUCUCACCCAGCUUGCCUAAAGACCUGAGGUGACAGCAUUGCUGCGGCAGAUGCAGCGCGCCUCUCCUAAAACUGUGGUUGGUUCAUCGUAGCCGUUCAUUAUACUUCAUGAUAUUAAGGUACUUAGGAUUAUGUCUAUGUCUGUUCCCUGGAGAGUGUAUUAUUUAUUCAGUGUGUGCGUGUGCGUGUGAGCGUCACCGUGUCCGAGAUCUAGUCAAUAGGCGCCGCCACGCCCUACGGGGGCUGGGCGGCCGAGGGGCGCGGCUCUGAUCCCCCUGCGGGACACCACUUCCAGAUCCUCUAUGAAUUAAAUUAUAAAGGGAGUUACCGGUGCGUCUAACGUGCAAAUGUAAUAGACAUGUACAUUGAGAAAUACUCGUACAUAUAUUUGAUAUGUAUCAGUAUUUUUGUAUUUUGAACGGAAUUAUCCAGUUUGUUUGGAUUAGUCAUUACCUCUGCGUCAUGUUGCAGUUUGUCGUUCAGCGAAAACCUUCACUUCGUGUCGCCUCAUUACCAAUAGUCACCUCACACCAACUGGCGGCCCCGCGCUGCCAGUCCCGCCGCCAUGGUAGUGUCCCCUUUCCCCUCCACGUGUCUGGGCGCAACCCACGCCCCGGCACAGCCACGUAGAUAUGGACCGUUUCCCUCUGGUUCUUUGUGAUAUUUUAUUAUAUACAAUACUUGACAUGUAAAUAAGAUUGUUAUAUAUUUCAAUUUCUGUGUGUGUGUGUGUGUGUGUGUGUGUGUGUGUGUGUGUGUGUGUGUGUGUGUGUGUGUGUGUGUGUGUGUGUGUGUGUGUGUGUGUGUGUGUGUCGGUUUGAAUCCCCACUCUCCCUCACACUUUUAAAACCUCAUGUGUUUCUGUUAGACAAGGAGUCCAGUCAGUGUUGUGUUUGGAUUCUGUAUAUAUCCCGUGUUUUGUACGUUGAAUGUUUACUAGAGAGCGUUCGUGUAAAGACAUUCUAGGGGAUAAAGAAAAAAAACGAAGCAAAAAAAAAAAUCAAUCAAGAAGGGAAGUCGGUGAGUCUCCCAUCACUUAGAUCUCAUUUUCUUUCACCAACCAGUCAGUCUCUCUCUCUCUCUCUCUCUCUCUCUCUCUCUCUCUGGAUGCGCUCACUGUGUUGUACUGUACAUAAUGUUAAUACAAUGUUGUCAUGGGGUGAAAAAAAUGUAGUGUUUGCUAGCUGUCUCCCCCUCAUUCUUCCCCGAUCCCCUUCCCCUUAUCCCCAGCCCUUCCUUGCCUUGUCUUCGUUCCUCUUCUCCCCGUUUAUCUCACUCUUGUUCCUUCACUCACUCCCUCAUAUUAUGUCACUCAAAAUACAUGCUUCCACCCACGUCUCUCUCUCUCUCUCUCUCUCUCUCUCUCUCUCUCUCUCUCUCUCUCUCUCUCUCUCUCUCAUUAUCUACCUCAUCACUCAUUUCUUUAGCAUCCCAUCAUCCCAUAUUCUCUCUCUCUCUCUCUCUCUCUCUCUCUCUCUCUCUCUCUCUCUCUCUCUCUCUCUCUCUCAUAUCUUCAAUCUCUUAUCUCUUCUCUUUUUCCCCUUACUAAUGUUUCUGACCAUUAGAUUUUAGACCACUUCCCUCCCUUUUCCACUUACCUCAACUCCCUUCCUCCUCCCUUACCCCUGGACGCACUCUCCCUCCUCCCUCCUCCACCUCCCCUACCAUAACCCGCCAUAGAGUAACCCAUCUGGAGGGGUGAGUAAGAUGUACUGAUUCAAGUGUUGUUCAUAAUAAAAUAUGUCACUUCA
This 5694-nucleotide unclassified non-coding RNA is filed under the name Portunus trituberculatus (swimming crab). RNAcentral's name for it is "uncharacterized LOC123519912, transcript variant X1". Lineage: Eukaryota; Metazoa; Arthropoda; Malacostraca; Decapoda; Portunidae. The record is from RNAcentral.